GUACGCUGGCGGCACGCUCACCAUGCUUAUCGAACGGUAACAGGAAGCAGCUUGCUGCUUCGCUGACGAGUGGGACGGGUGAGUAAUGUCUGGGAAACUGCCUGAUGGAGGGGGAUAACUACUGGAAACGGUAGCUAAUACCGCAUAACGUCGCAAGACCAAAGAGGGGGACCUUCGGGCCUCUUGCCAUCGGAUGUGCCCAGAUGGGAUUAGCUAGUAGGUGGGGUAACGGCUCACCUAGGCGACGAUCCCUAGCUGGUCUGAGAGGAUGACCAGCCACACUGGAACUGAGACACGGUCCAGACUCCUACGGGAGGCAGCAGUGGGGAAUAUUGCACAAUGGGCGCAAGCCUGAUGCAACAAUGCCGCGUGUAUGCAGAAGGCCUUCGGGUAGUAAAGUACUUUCAGCGGGGGCAGAAAGGUGUAGAAGGUAAUAAUCAC
This 441-nucleotide ribosomal RNA is filed under the name uncultured Enterobacter sp. RNAcentral's name for it is "bacterial SSU rRNA". It matches the Rfam family "Bacterial small subunit ribosomal RNA", at positions 31 to 467 of the family's 1533-position model. Lineage: Bacteria; Pseudomonadati; Pseudomonadota; Gammaproteobacteria; Enterobacterales; Enterobacteriaceae. The record is from RNAcentral.